Myotis brandtii (Brandt's bat) is the source of this 116-nucleotide non-coding RNA. The record is from Rfam. NCBI's taxonomy places the organism in Eukaryota, Metazoa, Chordata, Mammalia, Chiroptera, Vespertilionidae.
AAAAAAGGUUGGGAACCAUUGGUAUAACACAAUUUGAACUUGCUAUAGCAACAAAGACUAACUUAUUCUGGUGCUCUCUCUUCUAUGAGACAAGCCAAUAUAUAGACUUAGGUAGU